RNAcentral lists this ribosomal RNA (217 nucleotides) under uncultured bacterium. RNAcentral describes it as "partial 16S ribosomal RNA". It matches the Rfam family "Bacterial small subunit ribosomal RNA", at positions 328 to 539 of the family's 1533-position model. The record is from RNAcentral.
ACGCUCGACACCUACGGGAGCAGCAGUGAGGAAUAUUGGUCAAUGGGCGCAGGCCUGAACCAGCCAAGUAGCGUGAAGGAUGACUGCCCUAUGGGUUGUAAACUUCUUUUAUAUGGGAAUAAAGUUUUCCACGUGUGGAAUUUUGUAUGUACCAUAUGAAUAAGGAUCGGCUAACUCCGUGUCAGCAGCCGCGGUAAUCUGAGCGGGCUGGCAAGGC